GAUGAACGCUGGCGGCGUGCCUAACACAUGCAAGUCGAACGAAGCACCUUACCUGAUUCUUCGGAUGAAAGUUUGGUGACUGAGUGGCGGACGGGUGAGUAACGCGUGGGUAACCUGCCCUGUACAGGGGGAUAACAGCUGGAAACGGCUGCUAAUACCGCAUAAGCGCACGAGGAGACAUCUCCUUGUGUGAAAAACUCCGGUGGGACAGGAUGGGCCCGCGUCUGAUUAGCUGGUUGGCAGGGUAACGGCCUACCAAGGCAACGAUCAGUAGCCGGUCUGAGAGGAUGAACGGCCACAUUGGAACUGAGACACGGUCCAAACUCCUACGGGAGGCAGCAGUGGGGAAUAUUGCACAAUGGGGGAAACCCUGAUGCAGCAACGCCGCGUGAGUGAAGAAGUAUUUCGGUAUGUAAAGCUCUAUCAGCAGGGAAGAUAAUGACGGUACCUGACUAAGAAGCUCCGGCUAAAUACGUG
Molecule: ribosomal RNA, 477 nt
Filed under: uncultured bacterium
Lineage: Bacteria
Description: partial 16S ribosomal RNA
Rfam family: Bacterial small subunit ribosomal RNA
Source: RNAcentral